Molecule: ribosomal RNA, 1755 nt
Filed under: Procerodes littoralis
Lineage: Eukaryota; Metazoa; Platyhelminthes; Tricladida; Procerodidae
Description: SSU rRNA
Rfam family: Eukaryotic small subunit ribosomal RNA
Source: RNAcentral
UAGUCAUAUGCUUAUCUCGAAGAUUAAGCCAUGCAUGCUUAAGUACCAGUUCUUGAACGACGAAACCGUAGACGGCUCAUUAUAACAGCUAUUAUUUAAGAGAGAUAAUGAACCACAGGAUAACUGUGGCAAUUCUAGAGCUAAUACAUGGAAAGUAAUCAUGACUUACGAAAUGAUGGACUUAUUGUAUAAAGCUAAACUACCCCUCGGGGUUGAUUCUUGGUGACUCUAGAUAAUUGUACCUGAUCGCAUGGCCUUGUGCUAGCGACAUAUCUCUUGAAAUGGCUGACCUAUCAACUUUCGAUGGUAAGAUCAAUGCUUACCAUGGUUAUAACGGGUAACGGGGAAUCAGUGUUCGAUUCCGGAGAGGGAGCCUGAGAAACGGCUACCACAACUACGGUUGGCAGCAGGCGCGCAACAUACCCAUUGCUCGAUGAGCGAGGUUGUGAAAAUAAAUAACAAUAUGGACCCUUUUGGGAUUCAUAAUUGAAAUGAGAUCAUUUUAAAUACUUUAGCGAGUAUCAAUUGGAGGGCAAGUCUGGUGCCAGCAGCCGCGGUAAUUCCAGCUCCAAUAGCGUAUAUUAAAGUUGUUGCAGUUAAAAAGCUCGUAGUUGAAAUUGAGACAUGAAUUGAUUUGAUAUCUUUGAUAGAGAAUCUUUUCAGUCUUCCCAGUCGUGUAUAUUCUUGGUUUCCUUUUUUGGAUGCUCGGGAUAACCGACAAGUUUACUUUGAAAAAAUUAGAGUGCUUAAAGCAGGCUUACGCUUGAAUAUUGUUGCAUGGAAUAAUAGAAUAGGACUUUUGUUCUAUUUUGUUGGUUUUCGGAACGAAAGUAAUGAUUAAAAGAGACUGCCGGGGGCAUACGUAUGCUAGUGUUAGAGGUGAAAUUCAUAGAUCACUAGCAGACGACCUACUGCGAAAGCAUUUGCCAAGAAUGUUUUCAUUAAUCAAGAACGAAAGUCAGAGGAUCGAAGACGAUCAGAUACCGUCCUAGUUCUGACCAUAAACUAUGCCAACUGGCAAUUCGUUAUAGUAAUUAAUUUCGCUUAACGAGAGGUCACCGGGAAACCAAAGUCUAUGGGUUCCGGGGGAAGUAUGGUUGCAAAGCUGAAACUUAAAGGAAUUGACGGAAGGGCACCACCAGGAGUGGAGCCUGCGGCUUAAUUUGACUCAACACGGGAAAUCUCACCCGGUCCGGACACUGCGAGGAUUGACAGAUUGAUAGCUCUUUCUUGAUUCGGUGGGUGGUGGUGCAUGGCCGUUCUUAGUUGGUGGAGUGAUUUGUCUGGUUAAUUCCGAUAACGAACGAGACUCUAGCCUGCUAACUAGUAUAUAUGUAAAUUUAUGCAUAUACAGACUUCUUAGAGGAAUUAAUAGCGUUAGCUAAAUGAGAUGGAGCAAUAACAGGUCUGUGAUGCCCUUAGAUGUCCGGGGCCGCACGCGCGCUACAAUGACAGUAUCAACGAGUUUUCAAUCCUAGCUAGAAAUGGCUGGGUAACCUGCUGAAACACUGUCGUAUCAGGAAUAGUAGAUUGUAAUUUUUCUACUUGAACGAGGAAUUCCUAGUAAGUGCAAGUCAUUAGCUUGCGCUGACUAUGUCCCUGCCCUUUGUACACACCGCCCGUCGCUACUACCGAUUGAAUGGUUUAGUGAGAUUGUCGGAUUCUAGUCUAUGAGAUGGCAACAUUUCUAAGACCGGGAAAAGAUACUCAAACUUGACUAUUUAGAGGAAGUAAAAGUCGUAACAAGGUUUCCGU